This 201-nucleotide non-coding RNA is filed under the name Thomasclavelia spiroformis. Its description in RNAcentral is "Clostridium spiroforme T-box sequence". It matches the Rfam family "T-box leader". Rfam says of the family: Uncharged tRNA acts as the effector for transcription antitermination of genes in the T-box leader family. Lineage: Bacteria; Bacillati; Bacillota; Erysipelotrichia; Erysipelotrichales; Coprobacillaceae. The record is from RNAcentral.
GUAAAUACAAUGAAAGAGACUGUUUAUAAUAAGAUGUUUAUAGAGAGCUGAUGGUCGGUGUAAAUCAGUAACUAUUAUUAUAAUGAAUCACUCUGGAGUAGCGCCUUGAAAAUAGUAGGGGUGGCCGUUGAUCGCGUUAAGAUUUUAAGUGCGUAUUGAAAAAUACGAAAUAAGGUGGUACCGCGAAUAUUCGUCCUUUGU